CACGUGAGGAUUGACAGAUUGACAGUCCUUCCUGGAUCCUAGGGUGGGGGUGGCUGGGCCGUCCUAAUUGGGGGAACGGAUUGGCCGGGUAAAUUCCGUAACCAAACAAAAUCUUGGCCGGUUAAAAAGCCGGGGAAACUUAUAUUUAUCGCCCCGCGUCUACUUCUUAGAGGUACAAUUGGCGAUUAGNCACACGAGAUGGAGCAAUAACAGGUCU
RNAcentral lists this ribosomal RNA (217 nucleotides) under uncultured marine eukaryote. Its description in RNAcentral is "partial 18S ribosomal RNA". It matches the Rfam family "Eukaryotic small subunit ribosomal RNA", at positions 1230 to 1463 of the family's 1831-position model. The record is from RNAcentral.